Molecule: ribosomal RNA, 274 nt
Filed under: uncultured bacterium
Lineage: Bacteria
Description: partial 16S ribosomal RNA
Rfam family: Archaeal small subunit ribosomal RNA
Source: RNAcentral
AAACCAGCACCUCAAGUGGUCAGGAUGAUUAUUGGGCCUAAAGCAUCCGUAGCCGGCUCUGUAAGUUUUCGGUUAAAUCUAUAUGCUCAACAUAUAGGCUGCCGGGAAUACUGCACAGCUAGGGAGUGGGAGAGGUAGACGGUACUCGGUAGGAAGGGGUAAAAUCCUUUGAUCUAUUGAUGACCACCUGUGGCGAAGGCGGUCUACUAGAACACGUUCGACGGUGAGGGAUGAAAGCUAGGGGAGCAAACCGGAUUAGAAACCCGGGUAGUCC